RNAcentral lists this ribosomal RNA (525 nucleotides) under uncultured bacterium. RNAcentral describes it as "bacterial SSU rRNA". It matches the Rfam family "Bacterial small subunit ribosomal RNA", at positions 28 to 530 of the family's 1533-position model. The record is from RNAcentral.
GACGAACGCUGGCGGCGUGCCUAACACAUGCAAGUCGAGCGGGGUUGAGGCGAGAGGUAACUCGAGCUUCUACCUAGCGGCGGACGGGUGAGUAACGCGUGGGCAACCUGCCUCAAGGUUUGGGAUAACAGCCCGAAAGGGCUGCUAAUACCGGAUAUGCCUAUGGCCUCGCAUGGGGCUAUGAGCAAAGGGGAAACCCGCCUUGAGAUGGGCCCGCGUCCCAUCAGCUAGUUGGUGAGGUAACAGCUCACCAAGGCGACGACGGGUAGCCGGCCUGAGAGGGUGACCGGCCACACUGGGACUGAGACACGGCCCAGACUCCUACGGGAGGCAGCAGCUAAGAAUCUUCCGCAAUGGGGGCAACCCUGACGGAGCGACGCCGCGUGAACGAGGAAGGCCGAAAGGUUGUAAAAGUUCUUUUCUUGGGGAAGAAUAAAGGGAAAGAGGGAAAUGCUUCUCUGAUGACGGUAACCGAGGAAAAAGCCCCGGCCAAUUACGUGCCAAGCAGCCGCGGUAACUACGUCU